AACGAACGCUGGCGGCAGGCCUAACACAUGCAAGUCGAGCGAAGCCUUCGGGCUUAGCGGCGGACGGGUGAGUAACGCGUGGGAACGUGCCCUUUGCUACGGAAUAGCCCCAGGAAACUGGGAGUAAUACCGUAUGUGCCCUUCGGGGGAAAGAUUUAUCGGCAAAGGAUCGGCCCGCGUUGGAUUAGGUAGUUGGUGGGGUAAUGGCCUACCAAGCCGACGAUCCAUAGCUGGUUUGAGAGGAUGAUCAGCCACACUGGGACUGAGACACGGCCCAGACUCCUACGGGAGGCAGCAGUGGGGAAUCUUAGACAAUGGGGGAAACCCUGAUCUAGCCAUGCCGCGUGAUCGAUGAAGGCCUUAGGGUUGUAAAGAUCUUUCAGUGGGGAAGAUAAUGACUGUACCCACAGAAGAAGCCCCGGCUAACUCCGUGCCAGCAGCCGCUGUAA
Molecule: ribosomal RNA, 449 nt
Filed under: uncultured bacterium
Lineage: Bacteria
Description: partial 16S ribosomal RNA
Rfam family: Bacterial small subunit ribosomal RNA
Source: RNAcentral